AUCUACAGCCAUGCCACCCUGAAAAUGCCCGAUCCCGUCUCAUCUCGGAAGUUAAGCAGGAUCGAGCCUGGUUAGUACUUAGGUGGGAGACCAGCUAGGUAGACCGGAUGCUGUAGGCA
This 119-nucleotide ribosomal RNA is filed under the name Pteropus alecto (black flying fox). The record is from RNAcentral. Lineage: Eukaryota; Metazoa; Chordata; Mammalia; Chiroptera; Pteropodidae.